GCAUAUCAAUAAGCGGAGGAAAAGAAACUAACAAGGAUUCCCCUAGUAGCGGCGAGCGAAGCGGGAAGAGCUCAAAUUUAUAAUCUGGCACCUUCGGUGUCCGAGUUGUAAUCUCUAGAAAUGUUUUCCGCGUUGGACCGCACACAAGUCUGUUGGAAUACAGCGGCAUAGUGGUGAGACCCCCGUAUAUGGUGCGGACGCCCAGCGCUUUGUGAUACAUUUUCGAAGAGUCGAGUUGUUUGGGAAUGCAGCUCAAAUUGGGUGGUAAAUUCCAUCUAAAGCUAAAUAUUGGCGAGAGACCGAUAGCGAACAAGUACCGUGAGGGAAAGAUGAAAAGCACUUUGGAAAGAGAGUUAACAGUACGUGAAAUUGUUGGAAGGGAAACGCUUGAAGUCAGACUUGCUUGCCGAGCAAUCGGUUUGCAGGCCAGCAUCAGUUUUCCGGGAUGGAUAAUGGUAGAGAGAAGGUAGCAGUUUCGGCUGUGUUAUAGCUCUCUGCUGGAUACAUCUUGGGGGGACUGAGGAACGCAGUGUGCCUUUGGCGGGGGUUUCSACCUCUUCACACUUAAGGAUGCUGGUGGAAUGGGCUUUAAACGACCCCGUCUUGAAACACGGACC
This 617-nucleotide ribosomal RNA is filed under the name Rhodotorula mucilaginosa. Its description in RNAcentral is "eukaryotic LSU rRNA". It matches the Rfam family "Eukaryotic large subunit ribosomal RNA", at positions 38 to 667 of the family's 3401-position model. Lineage: Eukaryota; Fungi; Basidiomycota; Microbotryomycetes; Sporidiobolales; Sporidiobolaceae. The record is from RNAcentral.